AAAAAAAAAAAAAAAAAAAAAUAGUUCAGAAUUCACAUUCAGAUGAAAGCUGAGUCGCAACUCGUUUUUCUGGAAAUUGGAACAAAACCUUGUCACACAGCUCACGAAAGACGAAACUCUCACGGCGGCCCUCCUCUCCCGUCUCCGCCCCGGCGUCACCAAUCAGCGCGGCAGCGCCGCUCGUAUCUGAGUUUUUGUCUAACUUUCGGGGCUCGUCUCUCUCUGUCUCUUCAUCUAAUUUGGACAUGUCAUGAUGCCAUUUGAAUUGUUGACCGGACACAUCAUCAUGCCACUCUCUGCUUCAACUCUUGGAUCUUCAUCGCUGGGACGAGUUUGUUUUGCUUCGAACAGUAGAUUUCGACAAUCGGCAACACCACGCCUACUGCCACCCCACCCCCGGAGACCGGAGUCUGAAACUGUGACCCAGCUCCUAGCCCACAUAAUGCUCCUUCUUCAGCACUGCACCGCCAUGCUGGCUGCCCUAGAUGCGGGGCUCCACUUGAAGGCCAUCGGCCACUUCUCCAAAAUCGUUGAAGGCCAGCACGGCGCCCCGCAAGGCUUACUGGCGGGGUGCUACAUACACAGAGUUGCGGAGCAUUGCUUUGCGGGCCGAAUCACGGAUUCAAUCGCCGAGGAAUACCCAUUAACGAGAAUGUGGGAAUGAACGAGGGUCUCGAGUCGAAGAAGGGAAAGAUCGGCGCAUGCCUUGAUGAUGGAGGUGAAGGUGUAGGAGGAAGGGGCAAUGCCAGAGAGGAGCAUGCGGCGGUAGAAAACGACGGCGUUAAGGGAAAAACCAAAUUUUGAAGAGGCUUUGAUGAGGGAAUUGAAGAGAAAAGGAUUUGGGUGGGUGAGGGAGCUGAAGAGUCUGCGAGUGUAGGCGAUGGAAUCGGCAGCGCAGGAUAGCGUGAGGAGCUUGGUGAGGAGAGCACGGUUGCGGUGGGAGCCUGUGAUGACAAGGUGAGCAUGAGCUUGGCGAUUGAAUCCGCGAUUCGGCCCAUGGAACGGUGCGCGGCAACCUGAUGACGAAGAUCCAGGAGCUGAAGCUGAGAGUGGCAUGAUGACGUGUUCAACUAAUACACGUGUCACUACGUCAAUGGAUAGAAAAGAGAAAGGGCACCGAAACCCCCUGCUUAGAAGGGGCACCAAAGGAAUCCUCAAAUAUUUAUAGCUGAAUAGGGUUCUAAUUUGAUCUGCUUGAUGACUUGAUAAUAUCAGUUUGACAAUCUACUGUGGGUUUUCAGUUGAGAAGCAAAGCAUGUGAAAUUGAACUGAGAUAUUUAAUAAAUAUAUCUUCAUUUGGUGUUUUUUUUAACUUGACAUAUUAUUUUAGCGUUUAUCUUAAUUUGGUGUUUGUGUGCAUAGAUAUACAUUUGAUAAAUAAGAAAUAAGAUAUUUAAGACAUCCUAUGCAUUGCGUGUAGUAUGGAUUUAUAGUCAUACUUUAUUUAUUUAUUAACUGAAAAGGAAAAACCUAUAUAUUCAGUCAUUGAACUUUUGCAUCGAGUGAUCAGAUAAAUGAGGGUCCAACAGCUAGUACACUGUAGCAUGACUUAUGCAUUGAAAUGAAAAGCCUAUAUAUUUAUGUCUCGUUAUCUAUUGUUUUCUCUGGCUUUAAGUGGUAUGCUAUCUUAUAUUGUUAUUUGCAACUUGCUGCAUAUUGUCGUGCUUAUAUUGUAAUCCCAUUUCAUACACCUUCCUUCCCAUAGAAGGUUCGACUCCUUACAGCAUUUAAGAAGGAAAUUAAAAGAGAAUUCCUUGUUUUUAAAAAUAUCCCUCUAAAAUAAUGACUACUGGAUGGUCCAUGGGUGGGCUACGGCCAGCCUACUUGAG
Molecule: non-coding RNA, 1829 nt
Organism: Cajanus cajan (pigeon pea)
Lineage: Eukaryota; Viridiplantae; Streptophyta; Magnoliopsida; Fabales; Fabaceae
Source: RefSeq, a predicted model, not a curated record